UGGAUCCAGACUUUGAUCAUGGCUCAGGAUGAACGCUAGCUACAGGCUUAACACAUGCAAGUCGAGGGGAAACGACAUCGAAAGCUUGCUUUUGAUGGGCGUCGACCGGCGCACGGGUGAGUAACGCGUAUCCAACCUGCCCACCACUUGGGGAUAACCUUGCGAAAGUAAGACUAAUACCCAAUGAUAUCUCUAGAAGACAUCUGAAAGAGAUUAAAGAUUUAUCGGUGAUGGAUGGGGAUGCGUCUGAUUAGCUUGUUGGCGGGGUAACGGCCCACCAAGGCAACGAUCAGUAGGGGUUCUGAGAGGAAGGUCCCCCACAUUGGAACUGAGACACGGUCCAAACUCCUACGGGAGGCAGCAGUGAGGAAUAUUGGUCAAUGGACGAGAGUCUGAACCAGCCAAGUAGCGUGCAGGAUGACGGCCCUAUGGGUUGUAAACUGCUUUUAUAAGGGAAUAAAGUGAGUCUCGUGAGACUUUUUGCAUGUACCUUAUGAAUAAGGACCGGCUAAUUCCGUGCCAGCAGCCGCGGUAAUACGGAAGGUCCGGGCGUUAUCCGGAUUUAUUGGGUUUAAAGGGAGCGUAGGCCGGAGAUUAAGCGUGUUGUGAAAUGUAGACGCUCAACGUCUGCACUGCAGCGCGAACUGGUUUCCUUGAGUACGCACAAAGUGGGCGGAAUUCGUGGUGUAGCGGUGAAAUGCUUAGAUAUCACGAAGAACUCCGAUUGUGAAGGCAGCUCACUGGAGCGCAACUGACGCUGAAGCUCGAAAGUGCGGGUAUCGAACGGGAUUAGAUACCCUGGUAGUCCGCACGGUAAACGAUGGAUGCCCGCUGUUGGUCUGAAUAGGUCAGCGGCCAAGCGAAAGCAUUAAGCAUCCCACCUGGGGAGUACGCCGGCAACGGUGCAACUCAAAGGAAUUGACGGA
Molecule: ribosomal RNA, 926 nt
Filed under: uncultured Bacteroidota bacterium
Lineage: Bacteria; Pseudomonadati; Bacteroidota
Description: bacterial SSU rRNA
Rfam family: Bacterial small subunit ribosomal RNA
Source: RNAcentral